CCUACGGGAGGCUGCAGUGGGGAAUAUUGCACAAUGGGCGAAAGCCUGAUGCAGCAACGCCGCGUGAGCGAUGACGGCCCUCGGGUCGUAAAGCUCUGUUUUUACGGAAGUUAAUGACGGUACUUGUGGUGGAAGCCCCGGCAAACUACGUGCCAGCUGCCGCGGCAAUAGGUCGGGGGCUAGCGUUAUCCGGAAUUACUGGGCGUAAAGGGUGUGUAGGGGGUUUCUUAAGUCAGAGGUAAAAGGCUACGGCUCAACCGUAGUAAGCCUUUGAAACUGGGAAACUUGAGUGCAGGAGAGGUAAGUGGAAUUCCUAGUGUAGCGGUGAAAUGCGUAGAUAUUAGGAGGAACACCAGUUGCGAAGGCAGCUCUCUGAACUGUAACUGACGCUGAGGCACGAAAGCGUGGGGAGCAAACAGGAUUAGAUACCCUUGUAGUC
RNAcentral lists this ribosomal RNA (439 nucleotides) under uncultured bacterium. Its description in RNAcentral is "partial 16S ribosomal RNA". It matches the Rfam family "Bacterial small subunit ribosomal RNA", at positions 338 to 795 of the family's 1533-position model. The record is from RNAcentral.